RNAcentral lists this ribosomal RNA (801 nucleotides) under uncultured bacterium. RNAcentral describes it as "bacterial SSU rRNA". It matches the Rfam family "Bacterial small subunit ribosomal RNA", at positions 1 to 809 of the family's 1533-position model. The record is from RNAcentral.
GAAUUCGCCCUUAGAGUUUGAUCUGGCUCAGGACGAACGCUGGCGGCGUGCCUAACACAUGCAAGUCGAACGGACGAGGAGGAGCUUGCUUCUCCAAGUCAGUGGCGGACGGGUGAGUAACGCGUGAGUAACCUGCCCUUCAGAGGGGGAUAACGUCUGGAAACGGACGCUAAUACCGCAUGACAUAUUUCCAUCGCAUGGUGGAGAUAUCAAAGGAGCAAUCCGCUGAAGGAUGGACCCGCGUCCGAUUAGAUAGUUGGCGGGGUAACGGCCCACCAAGUCGACGAUCGGUAGCCGGACUGAGAGGUUGAACGGCCACAUUGGGACUGAGACACGGCCCAGACUCCUACGGGAGGCAGCAGUGGGGGAUAUUGCACAAUGGGCGAAAGCCUGAUGCAGCAACGCCGCGUGAGGGAAGACGGUUUUCGGAUUGUAAACCUCUGUUCUAAGUGACGAACAAAUGACGGUAGCUUAGGAGAAAGCCCCGGCUAACUACGUGCCAGCAGCCGCGGUAAUACGUAGGGGGCAAGCGUUGUCCGGAAUUACUGGGUGUAAAGGGAGCGCAGGCGGAGAAGCAAGUCAGUGGUGAAAACGAUGGGCUUAACUCAUCGACUGCCAUUGAAACUGUUUCCCUUGAGUGAAGUAGAGGCAGGCGGAAUUCCGAGUGUAGCGGUGAAAUGCGUAGAUAUUCGGAGGAACACCAGUGGCGAGGGCGGCCUGCUGGGCUUUAACUGACGCUGAGGCUCGAAAGUGUGGGGAGCAAACAGGAUUAGAUACCCUGGUAGUCCACACUGUAAACGA